UAUUUUUUUUUUUAUCAGAGGAGACUGUCGUGUUGUGUGUGCCACUGCCGUUCGCCCUACGAACCAGUUCCCCGAAAACCAGCUGGAUUUUAAUUGCUGGUGAUGUUGCGAAGAGAACAUCUGCAGACCCCACAGUCGUGAAGCAGAAGGCCUGACCCGGAGGAGGACUGGAACACAUCGAAGCCACUGAGCGAGGCGUUACAUAAUACUGACAGAACAGGAAGUGCUG
This is a long non-coding RNA of Anguilla rostrata (American eel), 229 nucleotides long. RefSeq lists it as uncharacterized. Lineage: Eukaryota; Metazoa; Chordata; Actinopteri; Anguilliformes; Anguillidae. The record is from RefSeq and is a predicted model, not a curated record. The transcript has 3 exons.